This 834-nucleotide long non-coding RNA is filed under the name Homo sapiens (human). Its description in RNAcentral is "HSALNT0346944". Lineage: Eukaryota; Metazoa; Chordata; Mammalia; Primates; Hominidae. The record is from RNAcentral.
GUGGCUGUGGAAUAUGGGAAAGGGUGAAUAUGAAAGAUUUUCCUUUCGACUGUGUUAAGUUUCAGAUGCUUGCUAUACUCUGAAGUAGAAAUGUGGAGACCAUUGAAAAUAGGGAAAGCAGUCAGGAGUGGGAGGCCUCUGAACAAGCUGUAUUUUGUGUAGCCGCCAGCUUCCAUCUUUCUCCAGGCAGAACGCUGGCCCUCAGCACAUCUUUCUGCUUCCCCUCGGUCAGACCACCGAGAACUGCCGCUGUCCUGUCUGACUCCUCCUGUUUUGGUACUAGACCCCAGAUGAGGAUCUCAGGAAGAUCCACAAAGCUGCGUCCAGGGGAACGAACGUGUGGAAGCUGCAGCGGAGCCUCCUGCUCAAGAGUAAAGGACCGGUCUGAAACCUACAAGAACAGAAGAGCCAUGUGACGGGAUCCGUGGUUUGGCAGAGGAGACAUGCGAGAAGACGGAACGUUUUGUCCGAAUAGACAUCUGGCAGGGUGGAACGGAGAGAACAGGUAUGGUGGAGAGAACGUCUGAGAAGGUCGCAGGAUUCGCAGGAGCAUCGGGAAAAGAUUGCCUGCUUGCCCGAAGGAAUGGCAAGUUCCAAAGCUGUGCUGUGGGCAGUGUUUAGUUCAUGUCUGCUUUGCUGGCGGGCCGAGUAGCAACAGCUGCAGUUGGUGUGUUCUCUGAAGGCAGUAUCCGAAGGCUGGAGGGGUUGCUUUUCUUCCCAGGUGUCUUUUGAAGAGGCAGUCAAGUCAGCAGCUCGCGGUGACCUUCUGGUAACAUCGUAUGGGCUGGGUUACAGCACAUGCCGACUGCUAAGCCGGUCACUGGGGAAAACCAU